Molecule: ribosomal RNA, 501 nt
Filed under: uncultured bacterium
Lineage: Bacteria
Description: partial 16S ribosomal RNA
Rfam family: Bacterial small subunit ribosomal RNA
Source: RNAcentral
AUUGAACGCUGGCGGCAGGCUUAACACAUGCAAGUCGAGCGGGGGAAGGUAGCUUGCUACCGGACCUAGCGGCGGACGGGUGAGUAAUGCUUAGGAAUCUGCCUAUUAGUGGGGGACAACAUCUCGAAAGGGAUGCUAAUACCACAUACGUCCUACGGGAGAAAGCAGGGGAUCUUCGGACCUUGCGCUAAUAGAUGAGCCUAAGUCGGAUUAGCUAGUUGGUGGGGUAAAGGCCUACCAAGGCGGCGAUCUGUAGCGGGUCUGAGAGGAUGGACCGCCACGCUGGGACUGAGACACGGCGCAGACUCCUACGGGAGGCAGCAGUGGGGAAUAUUGGACAAUGGGGGGAACCCUGAUCCAGCCAUGCCGCGUGUGUGAAGAAGGCCUUAUGGUUGUAAAGCACUUUAAGCGAGGAGGAGGCUACUCUAGUUAAUACCUAGGGAUAGUGGACGUUACUCGCAGAAUAAGCACCGGCUAACUCUGUGCCAGCAGCCGCCGUAA